CCCUUAGAUGUUCUGGGCCGCACGCGCGCUACACUGGUGUAUUCAACAAGUAUAUAACCUUGAUAGAGAUGUCUGGGUAAUCUUUUAAACGUACACCGUGCUUGGGCUGGAUCGUUGCAAUCGUCGAUCCUUAACGAGGAAUGCCUAGUAAACGCAAGUCAUCAACUUGCAUUGAUUACGUCCCUGCCCUUUGUACACACCGCCCGUCGCACCUACCGAUUGAAUGAUUCGGUGAGGCUUUCGGAUUUUGCGUUAGUUUCGAAAGAGACUUUUGCGAGAGAAGUUAUCCAAACCUCAUCAUUUAGAGGAAGGUGAANUCGUAACA
Molecule: ribosomal RNA, 325 nt
Filed under: uncultured eukaryote
Lineage: Eukaryota
Description: partial 18S ribosomal RNA
Rfam family: Eukaryotic small subunit ribosomal RNA
Source: RNAcentral